This is a long non-coding RNA of Macrobrachium nipponense, 240 nucleotides long. RefSeq lists it as uncharacterized. The record is from RefSeq and is a predicted model, not a curated record. Lineage: Eukaryota; Metazoa; Arthropoda; Malacostraca; Decapoda; Palaemonidae. The transcript has 2 exons.
CGGAAACAGAUACAUAAGGAACAAACUAUUUAAAAUCGUGAAGAUAUUACUCAAAGCGAAAAACAAACGCCGUGCGAUAUAUGGAAAGACGGAUAUAAAAGCACGAGCCAGGAUACAACGGUUAAAGCCACAGCCCAUAAGGAAGUCUCACUGAAGUAAAGUUGCACCCCGAUCCGAUGCAUGUGGAAGAAGUUAUGGUAAUUAUAAAAUUAUUACUCAAAGCCGAGACGAGUCACAAAA